UUUGCCAAUAUAGCCACCCUGUAGGGGUAAGCUAGCCGGGAUAAGAUCAUGCAGGAGCGGUGAAGAAGAGGACAGCUUGAACAACUGAGAUAAUCUGAUUCAAUAAUUGAAUACAAGGUACCCCAAAAUUAAAUUUUAAAGAAUUUUUAAGAGAAUUAAUUAAAGUGGUGGAU
Non-coding RNA from Pseudonaja textilis, 173 nucleotides. NCBI's taxonomy places the organism in Eukaryota, Metazoa, Chordata, Lepidosauria, Squamata, Elapidae. The record is from RefSeq and is a predicted model, not a curated record.